RNAcentral lists this ribosomal RNA (861 nucleotides) under Massilia sp. HC36. Its description in RNAcentral is "bacterial SSU rRNA". It matches the Rfam family "Bacterial small subunit ribosomal RNA", at positions 118 to 978 of the family's 1533-position model. The record is from RNAcentral. Lineage: Bacteria; Pseudomonadati; Pseudomonadota; Betaproteobacteria; Burkholderiales; Oxalobacteraceae.
UCGGAACGUACCCAGAAGUGGGGGAUAACGUAGCGAAAGUUACGCUAAUACCGCAUACGAUCUACGGAUGAAAGCAGGGGAUCGCAAGACCUUGUGCUUUUGGAGCGGCCGAUAUNUGAUUAGCUAGUUGGUGAGGUAAAGGCUCACCAAGGCGACGAUCAGUAGCUGGUCUGAGAGGACGACCAGCCACACUGGAACUGAGACACGGUCCAGACUCCUACGGGAGGCAGCAGUGGGGAAUUUUGGACAAUGGGGGCAACCCUGAUCCAGCAAUGCCGCGUGAGUGAAGAAGGCCUUCGGGUUGUAAAGCUCUUUUGUCAGGGAAGAAACGGGAGUGGCUAAUAUCCAUUCCUAAUGACGGUACCUGAAGAAUAAGCACCGGCUAACUACGUGCCAGCAGCCGCGGUAAUACGUAGGGUGCAAGCGUUAAUCGGAAUUACUGGGCGUAAAGCGUGCGCAGGCGGUUUUGUAAGUCUGACGUGAAAUCCCCGGGCUUAACCUGGGAAUUGCGUUGGAGACUGCAAGGCUGGAGUCUGGCAGAGGGGGGUAGAAUUCCACGUGUAGCAGUGAAAUGCGUAGAGAUGUGGAGGAACACCGAUGGCGAAGGCAGCCCCCUGGGUCAAGACUGACGCUCAUGCACGAAAGCGUGGGGAGCAAACAGGAUUAGAUACCCUGGUAGUCCACGCCCUAAACGAUGUCUACUAGUUGUCGGGUUUUAAUUAACUUGGUAACGCAGCUAACGCGUGAAGUAGACCGCCUGGGGAGUACGGUCGCAAGAUUAAAACUCAAAGGAAUUGACGGGGACCCGCACAAGCGGUGGAUGAUGUGGAUUAAUUCGAUGCACGCGAAAACCUUACCUAC